UACGUAGGGGGCAAGCGUUGUCCGGAUUUAUUGGGCGUAAAGCGCUCGCAGGUGGUUCGAUGCGUCGUGCGUGAAAGACCCCGGCUCAACUGGGGAGGGUCGUGCGAAACGGGUGAACUAGAGGCCAGUAGGGGGAUGCGGAAUUCCGGGUGUAGUGGUGGAAUGCGUAGAGAUCCGGAGGAACACCAGCGGCGAAGGCGGCAUCCUGGACUGGUCCUGACACUCAGGAGCGAAAGCGUGGGGAGCGAUCCGG
RNAcentral lists this ribosomal RNA (253 nucleotides) under uncultured bacterium. RNAcentral describes it as "partial 16S ribosomal RNA". It matches the Rfam family "Bacterial small subunit ribosomal RNA", at positions 524 to 776 of the family's 1533-position model. The record is from RNAcentral.